UACAGAGGUCUCAAGCGUUGUUCGGAUUUAUUGGGCGUAAAGGGCGCGUAGGCGGCGGGGUAAGUCGGGUGUGAAAUCUCAGGGCUCAACCCUGAAACUGCACUUGAUACUGCUCUGCUUGAGGACUGGAGAGGAGACUGGAAUUCACGGUGUAGCAGUGAAAUGCGUAGAUAUCGUGAGGAAGACCAGUGGCGAAGGCGGGUUUCUGGACAGUUCCUGACGCUGAGGCGCGAAGGCCAGGGGAGCAAACGGG
Molecule: ribosomal RNA, 253 nt
Filed under: uncultured bacterium
Lineage: Bacteria
Description: partial 16S ribosomal RNA
Rfam family: Bacterial small subunit ribosomal RNA
Source: RNAcentral